CCUACGGGCGGCUGCAGUGGGGAAUAUUGGACAAUGGGCGAAAGCCUGGUCCAGCCAUGCCGCGUGUGUGAAGAAGGCCUUCGGGUUGUAAAGCACUUUCAGUGGGGAAGAAAGCCUUGGGGCUAAUACCCUCGAGGAAGGACAUCACCCACAGAAGAAGCACCGGCUAACUCCGUGCCAGCAGCCGCGGUAAUACGGAGGGUGCGAGCGUUAAUCGGAAUUACUGGGCGUAAAGCGCGCGUAGGCGGUCUGAUAAGCCGGUUGUGAAAGCCCCGGGCUCAACCUGGGAACGGCAUCCGGAACUGUCAGGCUAGAGUGCAGGAGAGGAAGGUAGAAUUCCCGGUGUAGCGGUGAAAUGCGUAGAGAUCGGGAGGAAUACCAGUGGCGAAGGCGGCCUUCUGGACUGACACUGACGCUGAGGUGCGAAAGCGUGGGUAGCAAACAGGAUUAGAUACCCGGGUAGUC
RNAcentral lists this ribosomal RNA (465 nucleotides) under Vreelandella stevensii. RNAcentral's name for it is "partial 16S ribosomal RNA". It matches the Rfam family "Bacterial small subunit ribosomal RNA", at positions 338 to 795 of the family's 1533-position model. The record is from RNAcentral. Lineage: Bacteria; Pseudomonadati; Pseudomonadota; Gammaproteobacteria; Oceanospirillales; Halomonadaceae.